GACGAACGCUGACGGUGUGCUUUAGACAUGCAAGUCGAGCGAGAAAGCCCUUCGGGGUUAGUAAAGCGGCGAACGGGUGAGUAACACGUGGGCAAUCUGCCCCUCGCAGGGGGACGAACCGGGGGAAACUCCGGCUAAUACCCCGUAAGCUAUGUGGAUCGCAUGGUUCACAUAGGAAAGGUAGCUUCGGCCAUCCGGCGAGGGAUGAGCCCGCGGUACAUUAGCUAGUUGGUGGGGUAACGGCCUACCAAGGCGGCGAUGUAUAGCUGGUCUGAGAGGAUGAUCAGCCACACUGGGACUGAGACACGGCCCAGACUCCUACGGGAGGCAGCAGUCGGGAAUCUUGCACAAUGGGCGAAAGCCUGAUGCAGCAACACCGUGUGAGCGA
Molecule: ribosomal RNA, 388 nt
Filed under: uncultured bacterium
Lineage: Bacteria
Description: bacterial SSU rRNA
Rfam family: Bacterial small subunit ribosomal RNA
Source: RNAcentral